UUUUUUAUAUAACUGAAAUAUGAAAUAGAGAACAAACUGAACUUCGACCUGGCUAUGUUGAGGACCCUGCCAAUGGGGGCAGAUACGUUGGCAAUUGACUGUCCUGAAGGACUCACCGCAAGAAGAUUAGUCGGUGUUGAUGACCCUGCCACAGGGAACAUGUGGUCAUAGUCCAGGAUCGACAAGAUGAAUUGAAUAUGUGAAGAAAUCUUGAAACCGCGAAAAGAAUCUUAUAAAUUUAAGAAAUAUUUGACUUAUACUUUGGAACUGCAUAUUUAUUUAUUUUUCACAUAUUAUUGCUUGAUUUAUCUAGCUAGAGUGUUCAUUAUUUACUGGGCUGUUUAGCUCAUUAUACCAUCUCUUGUUGUUUUACAGAUUUCGAGAACUAGUCUAUUGGGGAUUCAAAAUGGGAGAGCGACUAGAAGGAUUGU
RNAcentral lists this long non-coding RNA (431 nucleotides) under Phoenix dactylifera (date palm). RNAcentral describes it as "long non-coding RNA (PDAC_LNC014221)". The record is from RNAcentral. Lineage: Eukaryota; Viridiplantae; Streptophyta; Magnoliopsida; Arecales; Arecaceae.